RNAcentral lists this ribosomal RNA (444 nucleotides) under uncultured bacterium. RNAcentral's name for it is "bacterial SSU rRNA". It matches the Rfam family "Bacterial small subunit ribosomal RNA", at positions 355 to 796 of the family's 1533-position model. The record is from RNAcentral.
UAAGGAAUAUUGGUCAAUGGACGAAAGUCUGAACCAGCCAUGCCGCGUGAAGGAUGAAGGCCCUCUGGGUUGUAAACUUCUUUUAUCUGGGACGAAAAAAGCUCAUUCUUGAGCACUUGACGGUACCAGAGGAAUAAGCACCGGCUAACUCCGUGCCAGCAGCCGCGGUAAUACGGAGGGUGCAAGCGUUAUCCGGAUUCACUGGGUUUAAAGGGUGCGUAGGUGGGUUUGUAAGUCAGUGGUGAAAUCUCCGAGCUUAACUCGGAAACUGCCAUUGAUACUAUAGAUCUUGAAUCAUCUGGAGGUAAGCGGAAUAUGUCAUGUAGCGGUGAAAUGCUUAGAUAUGACAUAGAACACCAAUUGCGAAGGCAGCUUACUACGGGUGUAUUGACACUGAGGCACGAAAGCGUGGGGAUCAAACAGGAUUAGAUACCCGGGUAGUCC